Molecule: ribosomal RNA, 579 nt
Filed under: Agrococcus jenensis
Lineage: Bacteria; Bacillati; Actinomycetota; Actinomycetes; Micrococcales; Microbacteriaceae
Description: bacterial SSU rRNA
Rfam family: Bacterial small subunit ribosomal RNA
Source: RNAcentral
UCCGGAUUAGUGGCGAACGGGUGAGUAAUACGUGAGCAAUGUGCCCUUGACUCUGGGAUAAGCGCUGGAAACGGCGUCUAAUACCGGAUACGACUACCGGAGGCAUCUCCUGGUCGUGGAAAGAACUUCGGUCAAGGAUCAGCUCACGGCCUAUCAGCUUGUUGGUGAGGUAACGGCUCACCAAGGCGACGACGGGUAGCCGGCCUGAGAGGGUGACCGGCCACACUGGGACUGAGACACGGCCCAGACUCCUACGGGAGGCAGCAGUGGGGAAUAUUGCACAAUGGGCGCAAGCCUGAUGCAGCAACGCCGCGUGAGGGACGAAGGCCUUCGGGUUGUAAACCUCUUUUAGCAGGGAAGAAGCGAGAGUGACGGUACCUGCAGAAAAAGCACCGGCUAACUACGUGCCAGCAGCCGCGGUAAUACGUAGGGUGCAAGCGUUGUCCGGAAUUAUUGGGCGUAAAGAGCUCGUAGGCGGUUUGUCGCGUCUGCUGUGAAAACCCGAGGCUCAACCUCGGGCUUGCAGUGGGUACGGGCAGACUAGAGUGCGGUAGGGGAGAUUGGAAUUCCUGGUGUAGC